This 429-nucleotide ribosomal RNA is filed under the name uncultured bacterium. Its description in RNAcentral is "bacterial SSU rRNA". It matches the Rfam family "Bacterial small subunit ribosomal RNA", at positions 355 to 777 of the family's 1533-position model. The record is from RNAcentral.
UAGGGAAUUUUCGGCAAUGGGGGAAACCCUGACCGAGCAAUGCCGCGUGAAUGAAGAAGAUCUUCGGAUUGUAAAAUUCUGUUAUUGGGGAAGAAACAUACAAAUAGGAAAUGAUUUGUAUUUGACGGUACCUGAUGAGUAAGCCCCGGCUAACUAUGUGCCAGCAGCCGCGGUAAUACAUAGGGGGCAAGCGUUAUCCGGAAUUAUUGGGCGUAAAGCGUGCGUAGGCGGUUUAUUAAGUCUGAUGUAAAAUCCCACAGCUUAACUGUGGAUGGCAUUGGAAACUGGUAGACUAGAGUACGGUAGAGGUAAGUGGAAUUCCAAGUGGAGCGGUGGAAUGCGUAGAGAUUUGGAGGAACACCAGUGGCGAAGGCGGCUUACUGGGCCGGAACUGACGCUGAGGCACGAAAGCGUGGGGAGCAAACAGGA